Molecule: long non-coding RNA, 1953 nt
Organism: Anguilla anguilla (European eel)
Lineage: Eukaryota; Metazoa; Chordata; Actinopteri; Anguilliformes; Anguillidae
Exons: 10
Source: RefSeq, a predicted model, not a curated record
UCCUCCUCCGGUUGACGGACAAGUGCAGGACAGACAGAAUCUCGCGCAGUUUGAGCUGACUGUGCUCCUCUGACCCGUCUGCUUCCUCUGUGCCACUGUCCCUCCCUGCCCUACAUUAGGCUGACACACUGGCAAUCUUUACAGCAGGUGUAAACUGGAGUUAGCAGCGAUGGAAGCACUAGGACAUCCCUCCCACUCCUGGCAUGCACUGCAUUCCUGAAUCUCUCCAGCGACCCAAAGCUGUCUCUCAAACGACAAAAAAAUGGAGAGCGAUGGUACUCGGGUAGCGCUGAGACGUGGCCACGUCAAUAACUUCCAACCCACGUCGGGGGAGGAGUCGUUCAGCCCUUCACCAAUCAUGAGAGGCAAAGAAUGUUUCGAGUUCGUAUCCACAUCCAGUAUCCACACAUUUCAGUGAUAGUCUCUGUUGGACUAGGAUUGACAUGUCCUUUUAACUUUUAGCCAGUAAUGGACAGGGUUUUGGAUAUGGACAAUCCUACUCUGAGACACCUUUAAUCUCGUAAGCUAUACUCUGAUUAGUGAAUUCUACAAAACAUUCCAAGAUUGCCAGGAUUUUGCAUUUCUUUUAUUUUCAAGUUAUUGAAACGGGGAACUGCCUGUACAAGCAUGGACUGGUACAUACCAGUCCAGUGAAAUUAAUGAUAUUACAUUACUUUCUUUGGCAUUUACACGUCAGCAGUUGCAGCAAUUUUCGAUUGCUUAUGCAUGUGAUUGCUUGACUGUGAAUUGUGGAGUUCAAACAAGAACAGACUGGGAGUAUAGAUCACUUUUAAAAGAUACAGUUUCUCCCAGUACUAAUGGACAGCGUCCACAACUUUGGUUCAAGCACAGCUGAGUGUAAACCCCUCUUUAUGAAUUCAUGCCGCCUUGCAGGUUUUUUGCCAGCGUCUGUGCCCGGGUACCCAGCGCCCACUGCGGUGGGCGGGCACGGCUUGUGGGGACGCGUUAGGAUUCCGGGGCGUGGGAGUCGAAGGCCGCGAGCACGUCCUGCUUCCUAGCGAGCUGACUGGCUGUCGUCCCGGAGGCGUCCUGCGUGUCCCGGAGUCCAAGCAGGAGGAGAGCUUGUGUGGCGUCCGCCUGCUGUCCCGCACAGGCCGAGUGGAGGGCUGGGACAGAAAUGGGGUUUUCUUUUACAGACACAUUUACAACCCGUCAAAAUCACAAAAAUGUGUUUCCCUAAUGAUCUGCAAUUUUCACAUUUUCUUUUUCACUCAAAACCAAAGUUAUGAUUGUGUGAGUCACAUUGAUAUGAACCAGCCUUAAUGUCAGCCUUAAGUUUCUGCUUCAUUUCACAAGCACAGAUUAAUUACAGUAAAGAAAACUACCGCCAUUUGUGGAACAAGGUCGGCUCCUAAUUCCAGGAGGGUUUUUAUCGUGCUCGCGUGACCUUCCUACAAGAAGGAUCGCAAAUGAAGGAGCAGUCUGGCGACCGCGACGCUUCCGGUCCGCACAGCGUCUGUGAAGGGAGUGACUCCACAGCUGUCCCUGCAGUCGGGCUGGAUGCGAACCACAUCUUCACAGCCGUGCAGAGCUGAAGAAAACAGAGCAACGAACGCUAAGAACUGCUCAAAACACGUCCUUCGAGCCAGCGACCUAAGGAUACCCAUGUAUCACCUACAGUCCUCCGCUCUACCAACUGAGCUAUCGAAGGGACAGUUCAGCAGACCCCCUGGUCCCUGGGUUCACCAUGGCACACCGCACACGUGACAGGAAUGUGGGAGUCGUGUUAAGGAUCUCACGCAACGCGGCCAAACACCCAGCCCUGUUUCUCAUCACACGACAGGUGGAUGGCAGAGGAGCAGCCGCAGUGUAGGAGGUGCCCUGGCUGGGAUCGAACCUCCUGCCCACUCAGAGGGACCAGUGCUGGGUUCGAGCGAACUCAUCCUACAGGCUGCGGAAUGGCCAAUGUCACGGCAACCAGCUGCUCUGAAG